GCAGUGAUAGAGACCUUUCAUGGCUGUGUGUUUUCUCAGCUGAAUCAGGCCUUGCAGCGUAACAUCAAGGAAGAUGAGAUACUGAAGCUACUGCAAAAAGUGUCAGAGGUUUACUUAAGCAACCCUGUGGGGUGUCCUAACGCUCAACAUCAGACCUCCAAAGCAGUUGACCUGCUCCUCCUGUCAGACUGGGUGCAGAGUGCACAAAAGAAAUAUUUGGACACCGCUCAGAAUGUACUCUCAGAGAGGUUGGAGAGGAUCCUUGUUUGUGAGGAGAAAUACCGGCGCUCGCACACUCCGAAGGAAGAGGAGGACUUCUUAAGACUGCAGCUGGAUGUUGAGCAGGUGCCCCCAGCAACCUGAGAAGAUAAACUCUUCU
Molecule: long non-coding RNA, 379 nt
Filed under: Scleropages formosus (Asian bonytongue)
Lineage: Eukaryota; Metazoa; Chordata; Actinopteri; Osteoglossiformes; Osteoglossidae
Description: lncRNA (ENSSFOG00015025477.1)
Source: RNAcentral